This is a long non-coding RNA of Lolium rigidum, 1276 nucleotides long. RefSeq lists it as uncharacterized. The transcript has 11 exons. The record is from RefSeq and is a predicted model, not a curated record. NCBI's taxonomy places the organism in Eukaryota, Viridiplantae, Streptophyta, Magnoliopsida, Poales, Poaceae.
UCUCCACCUCUUCUUCCAAGGAGACCUACAGGUUAUCUCUAUCACACACAAAAUCCCCAUCUUCCUGCAGAAACUUGAAUGCUAUGCUAAAUUGGUUGACAUUGAUGCUUCGCGAGACAUACCAUCGUCGGAGGUGCAGCUGGUGGCUAGCUGGAUCAGCGCGCCGCCGGAGGAGCAGUUGGCGGCUGGCGGCACAAGCCGCUGCUCGCACCACCGCCGCGUGUGUUGCCGUUGCUUGAAGAGCCGGCUGGUGGGCUCUGCCCGUGCUACCAGCAUAGGAUGGAGAACGAUUCUACCUGCAUAAACUUGGAUGUUAUGCUAAAUUGAUUGACUUUGAUACUUGCUACAUUAUGAACAAUGAUUAUUGUAGCUAAUAAGAUGUUUGUUUCAUUUUUUCAGCAUAGGAUGGAGAAUGAUUCUACCACAUGGGCAUGAAAUGAAAAAUAAUCGCUGCCAUGGUCUUCUUAUCAAUAUGAGUGCUAUAAAUAAUAUAUUGGGAUGGUUGUCGCUCUAAAUUUCGCCAUGGAAUGUACAAAGCCUCACGUGAGCUUCUGCUCUUCUUAGUCAAUUAUUCAAUUUUCAGCUGGUCCUGCAAAGGGAGACAACCUCCUCUGUAUCUGCUCUCUCGGUUGAUGGUAAUCUACUCCGCUCUAUGUGUAGGCUGUUGCCAGGAGUUAGCCCCUACCUCGCAGUCGAGAAGAGCAAGGUCUGAGGAGUGGUAGGAUAGUUUGUAUGGCUCCCUCCACUCUGGUGGUUCGGUUGGGUCUGGGUAGGCUGGUGUGAAGGUUUAGCUCACUGUCAUGAAUGAUAGAGACGAGCUCUGUCCACUUGACUAUUCCAAGGUGGCUGCCCCAUUAUGGAUAACAAGAGAAUGUUGAAUGUCGACGCAAGAGAAGGUUAUCUGUGAAGGAGGUUUCUUGAUAAUGAUGUUUUUAUCUCAGGAUAUGUUGGCCUACUUCUGAAUACUAGAUGAUACUUUUUUUUAUUAGCUCAUCAUCCCUGCUAAAGUUAAGUACUGGAUGUUUUUCUGAGGAAGGUAGAAUGGCUACUCAAGAAAAAGAAAAAGAUAUUGCAAUGAUACUAAGAAAAGGGAAAUUCAAGGCCAUCUAUUACAGUAGCCAAAAGAGGCUAUAGUACCACCCAUCAAAACAAGAAGGCAUCCAGUGAACUAUUCAGAGAGGGAGAUCGGAAGGGAAAGAAGAAAUGGUGAGGGGGGUUGAGGAGACAAUAGAUGACACCUAUUUGCUAAUCUGCUGGCUCAAAUGUUGGCGGGAGU